Molecule: non-coding RNA, 71 nt
Organism: Podarcis lilfordi (Lilford's wall lizard)
Lineage: Eukaryota; Metazoa; Chordata; Lepidosauria; Squamata; Lacertidae
Source: the annotation of a GenBank genome assembly
GGGCCAUAAUUCAGUGGCAGAGCAUCUGCUUUGCACCCAGAAGGACCCUGGUUCAAUUCCUGGAAGCUCCA